This 369-nucleotide ribosomal RNA is filed under the name uncultured organism. RNAcentral's name for it is "bacterial SSU rRNA". It matches the Rfam family "Bacterial small subunit ribosomal RNA", at positions 526 to 896 of the family's 1533-position model. The record is from RNAcentral.
CGUAGGGUGCAAGCGUUAAUCGGAAUUACUGGGCGUAAAGCGUGCGCAGGCGGUUUUGUAAGUCAGAUGUGAAAUCCCCGGGCUUAACCCGGGAACUGCGUUUGAAACUACAAGGCUAGAGUGUGGCAGAGGGGGUGGAAUUCCACGUGUAGCAGUGAAAUGCGUAGAGAUGUGGAGGAACACCGAUGGCGAAGGCAGCCCCCUGGGUUAACACUGACGCUCAGGCACGAAAGCGUGGGGAGCAAACAGGAUUAGAUACCCUGGUAGUCCACGCCCUAAACGAUGUCAACUAGUUGUCGGGUCUUAACGGACUUGGUAACGCAGCUAACGCGUGAAGUUGACCGCCUGGGGAGUACGGUCGCAAGAUUA